This is a non-coding RNA of Podarcis lilfordi (Lilford's wall lizard), 603 nucleotides long. The record is from the annotation of a GenBank genome assembly. Lineage: Eukaryota; Metazoa; Chordata; Lepidosauria; Squamata; Lacertidae.
CGGAUCUACUAUUUUCUUUGCAUGUACCUGGGCAAAUGACUUGGAGUGCUCCAAUAUCUUCCUUUGGAGCAACUUAAUUCAUGUUUUCCUUGAAGUUCCACUGCACAUAACAGAAACUGAAAGCACCUUGCGUUUUCAGUGUUCGUGAAUGCUUAGCUUUGGAGCAUACAGAACAUCUCCCCCUGUUGAUCUUCCUGUGCAUCUUCUCUAGAGCGAAGUGGCUGACUCACCUCCUUUCACUCCAAUCCGCACCAAGGGUGAGAAGACUUCUCCGUGGCUAAGAAGCUCCCUUUCAUGCUGAUUGGGUGGCUCUCGGACCCUGGAGACUGGGAUCCUGAAGAGAACCUGCUGCAGAAAGAGUAAGCAGGUCUUAGAACCCCCAUGACCGCUACACCCCUGGCUCUCCCUCAUUCCUGCUACCUAUUCUUGACCUCUCCCCUUCUCUCCCCCCCCCCAUGAGUCACCCAUCAUUUUCUUUUCACAGAACACAAAGCAACUUCCAUCAGCCUGGUGUCCUCCUAGCUCUUAUACUGCUGUUCUCAGUGGCCUUCAUAGAAACCUGGAUUUCAAUCAGUUUGUCUUGUAAAACAGUGAAUGAUGGAG